UUCCAUAGAUCAAACCUAGAAAUCAAAAAGCUGAACUGAGGCUUUGACUCUGUGUUAGAAUAAUAUCUAUUCUUUUCCUCUGCAUUCAAAUGGGUAUUUCACAUUUGAAAUAUAUUCAGAAAAUCAGCACAUCA
Molecule: non-coding RNA, 134 nt
Organism: Dipodomys ordii (Ord's kangaroo rat)
Lineage: Eukaryota; Metazoa; Chordata; Mammalia; Rodentia; Heteromyidae
Source: Rfam